Phasianus colchicus (ring-necked pheasant) is the source of this 709-nucleotide non-coding RNA. NCBI's taxonomy places the organism in Eukaryota, Metazoa, Chordata, Aves, Galliformes, Phasianidae. The record is from RefSeq and is a predicted model, not a curated record.
AGGCUUUCAUGGGAAUGCUGCCGUUUAUCCUCCUGCCAAAGGAGUAAAAAAUGGGUUGCAGUUUAUAAUACAGCUUCUGUCUGCAUGGAAAAGAAUGAGGCUUUUGGUUUGCAGAACGGUGAAGUUAUCAAUUCACAGAAUCAUAAAGGUUGGAAAAGACCACUCAUUUAAUCCAACUGUCAACCCAUCACCACCAUGCCCACUAACCACAUCCCUAAGACAUCUCAGCAUCUCUCAGCUCCCUCACUGGUAUUCACAGGCAGAGAUCCCAAUUCUGCCCAAGUAACUGACAUUUUCUCAGCACAAAGAUCCCUUGACCACUAAUUCUCCGUUUUCUUCCAAGAGAAUGCUGCACAAAUUUUCUCCAGCCUGAUGUACCUGAGCACAGUAUUUCAGAAAAGCACACUUGUCUCACAUGCCAGCACUGUGUGGGUGCAACAUCACACUAUGGUGUGAAACAUUUUGAGACCAAGGAAAGUCUCUUCAACCUUCUUCCAUCUCGCUGGUGUGAUUCACAAGAGCACCAGGCAGUGUAACGCUGCAGUCGUACCUGUCCUCACCCACUCCUACUCUACCAUAUUGAGCUUGUCAGCAGGAGUUUCAUCACUGGCACUGAAGCCAGCGCUUAAUUUAUCAAACCAAUUGGUUUGUUUGUUGCUUUUGUUAACAAAAAAAAAAAAAAAAAAAAAAAAGUGGUGAGGGAGAAGAA